Molecule: ribosomal RNA, 389 nt
Filed under: uncultured bacterium
Lineage: Bacteria
Description: bacterial SSU rRNA
Rfam family: Bacterial small subunit ribosomal RNA
Source: RNAcentral
AUUGAACGCUGGCGGCAUGCCUUACACAUGCAAGUCGAACGGCAGCGCGGGGCAACCUGGGCGGCGAGUGGCGAACGGGUGAGUAACAUAUCGGAACAUACCCUAGAGUGGGGGAUAACGUAGCGAAAGUUACGCUAAUACCGCAUACGCACUAAGGUGGAAAGUGGGGGAUCUUCGGACCUCAUGCUCAUGGAGUGGCCGAUAUCUGAUUAGCUAGUUGGUGAGGUAAAGGCUCACCAAGGCGACGAUCAGUAGCUGGUUUGAGAGGACGACCAGCCACACUGGGACUGAGACACGGCCCAGACUCCUACGGGAGGCAGCAGUGGGGGAAUUUUUGGACAAUGGGCGCAAGCCUGAUCCAGCAAUGCCGCGUGCAGGAUGAAGGCCUU